Rosa chinensis is the source of this 1238-nucleotide RNA transcript. It is a transcript of the gene named 30S ribosomal protein 2, chloroplastic, with no coding region annotated. The record is from RefSeq and is a predicted model, not a curated record. NCBI's taxonomy places the organism in Eukaryota, Viridiplantae, Streptophyta, Magnoliopsida, Rosales, Rosaceae. The transcript is spliced from 5 exons.
AUGCCUCCGAGACUCUCACUCUCCCCUCUGCUCUAAAACCUUUGCGUUCAUCUAAUUCUGGUUAGAAAUGGCGACAAUCUCAUCACUUUUCUCAUCACCCAAUCUCCUUCACCACCCAAAAAAACCCAUCAACGCCUCACCGAAGCUGUCCCUCCAAAUCCUGAAAGCGACACCGUUUCAGGGCUCUUAUCUGAAGCUGACCUCCAGAGACUCGCAGAGGCUGUAUGCUGUUGCCGAAGAAGUCGCCGCCGACCCGUCUUCCAAGGCCGCCAUGAGAGUCUACAUCGGCAACAUUCCCAGGACUGUGGAUAAUGCCGAGCUUACCAAAAUUGUUGAAGAACAUGGUGCUGUUGAGAAGGCUGAGGUGAUGUAUGAUAAGUACUCCGGAAGAAGUCGCCGGUUUGCAUUUGUUACAGCAAAGACUGUUGAAGAUGCAAAUACCAUAGUUGAGAAGUUGAAUGGAACUGAGGUUGGAGGACGCGAGAUCAAGGUAAACAUAACCGAGAAACCCCUUCUACAACCAGAUUUAUCACUUGUCCAGGCAGAAGAGUCCCAAUUUGUCGACAGCCCCCACAAAGUUUAUGUUGGAAAUCUUGGAAAGGGAGUAACUACAGAUACACUCCAAAAGCUUUUCGCUGAAAAAGCAAAAGUUCUUAGUGCAAAGGUCUCCCGGGUUCCAGGAACCUCAAAAUCUAGUGGAUUUGGGUUUGUCUCUUUCUCAUCAGAGGAGGAUGUAGAAGCUGCCAUCUCAUCUUUCAACAGCACUUCAGUCAUGGAUAUAGGUACGUGUAAAUGAAUCGAACAGUGAAACAGCAAUAUUGCAAAGUGUGCAAGUCCGCUGUAGAACCGUUCCCUGCAUACAUACACACAUAUAGUUUUUUGAAGGCCAAAGAAUUCGCGUCAACAAGGCAUAGUGAACUGGCAGAACAUUUUGGGUUUGGAGAGUUUGUAUUGUAUCUAUUGUAUCAAAAAUUGGGACAGACCAUUUCUAUGUAGAACAAAAGUCAAAAGUAUUUUCUCUUCUUAUGGUUCUGGCAUGAGGUUUUGUAGUCUAUCCUCGUAUAAGCCGACAGUUAAUAGAACACAUGAUCUGAAAUACUGGUGCCUUCAAGUUGAAGCUAUCAUUUGUGGUAGAAGCUGAUGUUAAUGAGCUAGUUAGAUUUGGUGCUGUCCAAGCUUCACUUUGACUGAAUUAAUUGUCUUGAUUCUAAAGCAUCACUUAUCAUCAUUUGUAGUCA